AUCUCAAAUCAGGUAGGACUACCCGCUGACUUAGGCAUAUCAUUAAGCGGAGGA
RNAcentral lists this ribosomal RNA (54 nucleotides) under uncultured Thelephoraceae. RNAcentral's name for it is "partial 28S ribosomal RNA". Lineage: Eukaryota; Fungi; Basidiomycota; Agaricomycetes; Thelephorales; Thelephoraceae. The record is from RNAcentral.